GCCCUACUCUUCUGCCGUAAUUCCCGUCUUCCAGACCUUCCUAUCUAGGUUCAUGUCCUCGGUGAGCUGUAACUGUUCCAUGUCCCGCCUAAUCACCUCACCCCAGUACUUCUUCGGCCUACCCCUACCCCGCCUAAAACCAUCCAACGCUAGCCUCUCACACCUACGGACCGGGGCAUCCACGCCCCUCCUCUUCACGUGUCCGAACCAUCUCAAUCGUGCUUCCCGCAUCUUACACUCCACUGAAGUCAC
This 252-nucleotide long non-coding RNA is filed under the name Capsicum annuum. RNAcentral describes it as "long non-coding RNA (CANN_LNC019399)". The record is from RNAcentral. Lineage: Eukaryota; Viridiplantae; Streptophyta; Magnoliopsida; Solanales; Solanaceae.